This 253-nucleotide ribosomal RNA is filed under the name uncultured bacterium. RNAcentral describes it as "partial 16S ribosomal RNA". It matches the Rfam family "Bacterial small subunit ribosomal RNA", at positions 524 to 776 of the family's 1533-position model. The record is from RNAcentral.
UACGUAGGUGGCAAGCGUUAUCCGGAUUUAUUGGGCGUAAAGGGAACGCAGGCGGUCUUUUAAGUCUGAUGUGAAAGCCUUCGGCUUAACCGGAGUAGUGCAUUGGAAACUGGGAGACUUGAGUGCAGAAGAGGAGAGUGGAACUCCAUGUGUAGCGGUGAAAUGCGUAGAUAUAUGGAAGAACACCAGUGGCGAAAGCGGCUCUCUGGUCUGUAACUGACACUGAGGCACGAAAGCGUGGGGAGCAAACAGG